AUACCAUUAUUGUAAGAAAAGAUUCAACAAAGAAUAUAGAUCUACUCAUCAAUAUUCGUAUCUUCCUCGAUGUAUAGGUCCUCCUUCGAAUCACAAUAAUCGACUAAUGUAUCGUCUUCUAUCUCAUCGUCAUUUAUAAACUGAUCGUCGUCCUCUGACAAGAUUAAAUACAAAAUCAGCUUCAACUUCAUUGGGUGGCAGAUCAGCCCUAUUCAAAGGAGUUGUUACAAAUUUUUCAUUAACAAGAAGCUCGGCUAAUAUUUGUUCUUCCUUUUGAAAAGUUCUCUUUAUGUAAAUCUAAAUUUUCAUCCAUCUCUAGUUGGGUUGGUAUGUCAUAUAUGCCUCUAGUUGUUAUUCUUUCUAUGACAUACCAAUUACCUCGAUACUUUAGAUCCUUCAAAUAUAUUAC
RNAcentral lists this long non-coding RNA (409 nucleotides) under Elaeis guineensis (African oil palm). RNAcentral describes it as "long non-coding RNA (EGUI_LNC069724)". Lineage: Eukaryota; Viridiplantae; Streptophyta; Magnoliopsida; Arecales; Arecaceae. The record is from RNAcentral.